Molecule: ribosomal RNA, 302 nt
Filed under: uncultured bacterium
Lineage: Bacteria
Description: partial 16S ribosomal RNA
Rfam family: Bacterial small subunit ribosomal RNA
Source: RNAcentral
GCAGCAGCCACGGUAAUACGUAGGGUGCAAGCGUUAAUCGGAAUUACUGGGCGUAAAGCGUGCGCAGGCGGUUUGUUAAGACAGAUGUGAAAUCCCCGGGCUUAACCUAGGAACUGCAUUUGUGACUGGCAAGCUAGAGUAUGGCAGAGGGGGGUGGAAUUCCGCGUGUAGCAGUGAAAUGCGUAGAUAUGCGGAGGAACACCGAUGGCGAAGGCAGCCCCCUGGGCCAAUACUGACGCUCAUGCACGAAAGCGUGGGGAGCAAACAGGAUUAGAUACCCCCGUAGUCCCUGUCUCUUAUAC